AAUUUCUCAACCUUCACCAUAGAGACAAGGUAAUCAACAAGUGUUGCAUAUCAUACAACAAGAAAUUUCAAAACAGUAUCAUACUCUCAAUCAUGUGCAUAAGAAAGAAGCAAUGAAUACAUUCCAUGAAACCUUGAUCCUUCUUUCACGCUUUUUGUCAAACAGUUUCCAUAGAUGGUUGAAGGCAUUUCCUUAUAAGAUAUUCACUUCUCUUCUAUUCUCCAAUUGCUCCUUAUAAGAUAAACAACUUUCAAUGCCUUUGUUCAUCUUACAACGGUCUUUGAAGUAAUUUUUCUUUUUUUAUCACAGGCAUUAAAGAAGUUAUAAACAAACAAUACGUGAUUAAUGGUAAAUUUGAAAUUUCAAAUCAACCAAGUUUGGCUUGCAUAUAAGUUCUGAUGCAC
RNAcentral lists this long non-coding RNA (404 nucleotides) under Medicago truncatula (barrel medic). RNAcentral describes it as "long non-coding RNA (MTRU_LNC004803)". Lineage: Eukaryota; Viridiplantae; Streptophyta; Magnoliopsida; Fabales; Fabaceae. The record is from RNAcentral.